CCUACGGGAGGCAGCAGUGGGGAAUUUUCCGCAAUGGGCGAAAGCCUGACGGAGCAACGCCGCGUGAGGGAGGAAGGCUUUUGGGUUGUAAACCUCUUUUGUCAGGGAAGAAGUUCUGACGGUACCUGACGAAUCAGCAUCGGCUAACUCCGUGCCAGCAGCCGCGGUAAUACGGAGGAUGCAAGCGUUAUCCGGAUUUAUUGGGCGUAAAGCGUCCGCAGGUGGUUGAGUAAGUCUGUUGUUAAAGCGUGGGGCUUAACUCCAUAAGGGCGAUGGAAAC
RNAcentral lists this ribosomal RNA (280 nucleotides) under uncultured cyanobacterium. RNAcentral's name for it is "partial 16S ribosomal RNA". It matches the Rfam family "Bacterial small subunit ribosomal RNA", at positions 338 to 633 of the family's 1533-position model. The record is from RNAcentral. Lineage: Bacteria; Bacillati; Cyanobacteriota.